Molecule: ribosomal RNA, 619 nt
Filed under: Catostomus commersonii (white sucker)
Lineage: Eukaryota; Metazoa; Chordata; Actinopteri; Cypriniformes; Catostomidae
Description: partial large subunit ribosomal RNA
Rfam family: Bacterial large subunit ribosomal RNA
Source: RNAcentral
UCGCCUGUUUAUCAAAAACAUCGCCUCCUGCAAACAUCUAAGUAUAGGAGGUCCAGCCUGCCCAGUGACUAUGGGUUCAACGGCCGCGGUAUUUUGACCGUGCAAAGGUAGCGCAAUCACUUGUCUUUUAAAUGAAGACCCGUAUGAAUGGCUAAACGAGGGCUUAACUGUCUCCCCUUUCCAGUCAGUGAAAUUGAUCUAUCCGUGCAGAAGCGGGUAUAAAUCUACAAGACGAGAAGACCCUUUGGAGCUUAAGGUACAGACCCAAUCGCGUUAAACAACUUAUUAAAGAGCAUAAACUUAGCGCAUCAUGGAAUCUUACCUUCGGUUGGGGCGACCACGGAGGAAAAAACAGCCUCCGAGUGGACCGGGAAUAAAUCCUAAAGUUAAGAGCAACACCUCUAAACCACAGAACAUCUGACCAAACAUGAUCCGGACAUAAGUCCGAUCAACGAACCAAGUUACCCUAGGGAUAACAGCGCAAUCCUCUCCCAGAGUCCAUAUCGACGAGGGGGUUUACGACCUCGAUGUUGGAUCAGGACAUCCUAAUGGUGCAGCCGCUAUUAAGGGUUCGUUUGUUCAACGAUUAAAGUCCUACGUGAUCUGAGUUCAGACCGGA